UCACAUUCAUCGCAAGUCUGUCAUCUGGAUCAGAAGGCGGGAGCCAUGGAAGAGCAAGAGGAGCUUCUGGUGCAGC
RNAcentral lists this long non-coding RNA (76 nucleotides) under Anolis carolinensis (green anole). RNAcentral's name for it is "lncRNA (ENSACAG00000043521.1)". The record is from RNAcentral. Lineage: Eukaryota; Metazoa; Chordata; Lepidosauria; Squamata; Anolidae.